UACGUAGGGGGCAAGCGUUGUCCGGAAUUAUUGGGCGUACAGCGCGCGCAGGCGGUGUCUUAAGUCGGAUGUGAAAGCCCACAGCUCAACCGUGGAGGGUCAUUAGAAACUGGGAGACUUGAGUGUAGGAGAGGAAAGUGGAAUUCCACGUGUAGCGGUGAAAUGCGUAGAGAUGUGGAGGAACACCAGUGGCGAAGGCGACUUUCUGGCAUAUAACUGACGCUGAGGUGCGAAAGCGUGGGGAGCAAACAGG
This 253-nucleotide unclassified non-coding RNA is filed under the name uncultured Caryophanales bacterium. RNAcentral's name for it is "uncultured Bacillales bacterium contains 16S-23S intergenic spacer region". It matches the Rfam family "Bacterial small subunit ribosomal RNA", at positions 524 to 776 of the family's 1533-position model. Lineage: Bacteria; Bacillati; Bacillota; Bacilli; Caryophanales. The record is from RNAcentral.